RNAcentral lists this long non-coding RNA (7482 nucleotides) under Lactuca sativa (garden lettuce). Its description in RNAcentral is "long non-coding RNA (LSAT_LNC000477)". Lineage: Eukaryota; Viridiplantae; Streptophyta; Magnoliopsida; Asterales; Asteraceae. The record is from RNAcentral.
UUCAUGGAAUAGCACCUUAUUCACAUUUUUCCUAAAGUAACUAAGAUUGGGAAUUUAAUAAAACAUUUAGUUACUUUAUAAUAUUCAUCAUACUUUGAAUGAGAAUUAAUAAGUCCUUGUCUUACCCGUUCGGCUAACGACCCUCCACCGAUCAAGCAAGCGGUGGGUGAGAGUGGACACCCAUUAAGUCACCAUUUUAUAGGCAACAACCUUAUACCCACCUUAUAGACCGGCUUCGUGAAUGAGGCGUACUAGCGGUAAGACGACUUUGUUCUUAUACAUAUAUAUAUAAUUAUUAAAUCAUAAUAAUAUAAGUAUAAGGGUUGAAUUUUAACUUUUAAAAUUCUAGGGGUUGGAACUAAAGUUUUAACUUAACUUUACUUGUUCCAAAACUUGAGGGCAAGUUUUGUAAACUUUCAAAACUUUUCAUUUCUUGUAACUUAUGAGUUUAAUAGAGUAAUAAAAUGAGGACUUUUCAUUUUUCCUAACUCUUGUGUUCUUUUAAUGGUUUUUAAUCCAAGAGACUUUUGGUUUUCCAUAACUUGAGGACAAGUUAUGGACUCCAUUAAAACACAUUAUGAUCAUGAAUUAAUCUACCACAUAGGUUACAAAUAAUUCCUAUGAUCAUCUAAACAUCAUAAGAACAAGAAUAUGAAUAUGAACACUUUCAAGAAUCAAAAUCACAUUUAAUCUUUGUAAUUUUGAUAACUAGUUGUUGUAAAUGAGUUAGAAAAGACAUUACACCUUCUAAAAUAAGUUUUCAAGUACCAAAACAUUUUAGGGUAAUGAUUCUAAUCCAUUUCCAGCAACUCAAGUCGAAAUUCUGCACUCUGUCGACCCUACUCGCCGAGUGCAUAAACCUACUCGCCGAGUAGGUUGAAGAUACACAUGAACUCGACGAGUCCUCCCCAUGGACUCGCCGAGUCCAUCAGUCAGACAGCAGAAUUUUCGACUUUCUUCAACUUUUAAGCACAAAUAACAAACAAACAAGCCUAGGCUCUGAUACCACUGAUGGGUUUUGAGCAUUCUAACACUUCCUAAGUGUACAUGCAACCCUAAUAACCUUGGAUCUAUGUUUGUCUAAUUAUCAUGCAAAGUUGAAUUCCAAGGUUAUAUUCCUAUCUAGCAUACAUGGGGAACAAUUUUAACUUGAAUCAUAGAUAGAAUAACUUACCUUGUUGUUGCUUGUGUUCCUUGAAACCUUGUGAGCCUAGCACCCCAAGUGUGAUGCCUCAAAUGCUUCACACAACACCAAAUGCUCUUGGAAAGACUCUUGAGAUAACACACACUUCUCAAAAUCGGCCAAGCCCUCUAGUUUCUUAGUGUUCAACUUGUGUAGCCAAUUUUGUGGAGAAUGGGACUCUUAUAUAGUGUUGGCACAUCUAGGGUUACACCAUGUAAACCCUAAUGUGUCAUGACUCUUCAUUUCCAUGACCCAUGGGUUUGUAACUCCCAUGGAGCAUCCAUGGAGCAUCCUAUGGGUAGAACCCAACUUGAUAAUCCAUGGAGCCUCUUAGCCCACUAUACAAGAUAUGGAUGAUUUACAUAAUCAACCCAUAUAUUUAAUUAGUUAUCCUUUGAUCACUUAAUUAAUUCCAAAUUAAUUCUUUGAUCAACUAAUCAAAUAAUAUUAUUAAUAUAUUAGAACUUAUAAUAUAUUAAUAAUCUCCAAGUGUUAUUUCUCUCAUUUAGUCUAUCCAAUUGCAUGGUGCCAUGCAACCCAAAUGGACCAUGCCGGGUCGGGUCAAGUACAAGCCCGAAAUAGUUAUGGACUUAGACACCUUAUCCAACAGUCUCCCACUUGGAUAAGUCUAAUAACUAUAUCUCUAGUACUUCAGGAACCGACCGGCAAUCGUAGCUCUUUCAAGGUCUCUCGGAACUGAGAAGAUGAUGGUACGCCAUUUAAGAUAAGUGAUCAUAUAAUCCUCCGUUCUAGAUAUCAGCCGGACAAAUACAUGGAACAUUGUCUUGCUUAUUGUCCAGCAUUUGUUUCCCGAUUUCCGAUUUGUUUGACAUAGAACUUAAUUGAACACAUCAACUUAGUUCUGACCGGGCCCGGUACAUGGGUCAAAACAAAAUCAUCGAGGGGCCCAGAUAUCAGCUUCUAAUCCAAGAAGGAACAGAUAAACUUCGACUCAUAUGUUUGUUCUACCACUCAUUGAAUUACACACAAAAGUACGUUUUAUAACAUCGAGUUACCAAUGCGGUUUCGUACAGUCAAUGCAUAACCAACUUGUAAGUAACAAAUCAUAUCUCUAGGUUUGAAGACUUAUAUGAUAUUACCGUCUCACGAUCACUCGAGAUAGAAUUCCAUGAAGUGAUUCCAGUGAGCGUGGGUUGAGUCCAAUGCUCAGAACUUAUGAGCACUCAUGAUUGUUGUAGCCUUGUCCAAGACCUCUACAACCAAACAUGACAGUCUUGAUUCAUAUCUACUUCCAACAUAUGACCGACUGUGGAGGUUUGAAUAAUAUGUUAUACCAAACAAAAUUAUUCUGGAAGUCAAAACAUGCAAAAGAAAUAUAGUAAACGAUCGACAAGAGAUAGCAACACUUUACUCAUAAAUAAAACACCUUUUAUUCAUCAUCAAAUGUCAAUUACACUUUACAAAUUUCUGGGUUAUCUAACUACUAAAACUUAUAUCAUCCUUCAGCCCUAUGCUCCGAGCAUGCUGGAGAUGCUUAACCCUACUCAGUCCCUUCGUGAGGGGAUCUGCUGGGUUCUCAUCCGAUGAUACCCUCUUUGCCACGAGGAGUCCUUCUUCGAUCCGAUGUCUAAUGAAAUGGUAUUUUCUGUCGAUGUGUCUGGAUCUCCCAUGAUCCCUUGGUUCCUUGGCUAAGGCAACAGCACUUUCACUAUCACAGAAAAUUUCCAUUGGCUCUUUAAUAGCUGGUACAACUCCAAGGUCUCCAAUGAAGUUCUUCAGCCAUAUCGCCUCCUUUGCUGCUUCACUAGCUGCAAUAUACUCUGAUUCACAAGUAGAAUCUGCCACUGUCUCUUGCUUGGAACUCUUCCAAGAAAUUGCUCCUCCGUUUAGGGUAAAGACCCAGCCCGACUGAGAGCGGAAAUUAUCCCUAUCAGUCUGGAAGCUAGCAUCACUAUACCCUACAACUCUCAAGUCAUCACUCCCACCGAGGGUAAGGACCCAGUCCUUAGUCCUCCGUAGGUACUUGAGGAUAUUCUUUACCGCAGUCCAGUGUGCCUUGCCAGGGUUCGCCUGAUACCUGCUAACCAUGCUCAAGGCAAAAGCUACAUCGGGUCGAGUACACGUCAUAGCAUACAUGAUCGAUCCUACAGCCGAAGCGUAAGGUGUUCGACUCAUUUCUGCUAUCUCAGCCUCAGUGCUAGGGCUUUGUGUCUUACUCAAUCUGGUGUUACUCUGGAUGGGUAACUCUCCUUUCUUGGAAUCCUGCAUGCUGAAUCUCUUCAGCACCUUAUCCAAGUAGGUACUCUGACUAAGUCCAAUUAGUCUUUUACUCCGAUCUCUCAAGAUUCUUAUCCCUAGAAUAUAGGCAGCUUCACCAAGGUCCUUCAUAGCGAAACACUUCCCAAGCCAGGACUUUACUUCCUGCAGGGUUGGAAUGUCGUUUCCUAUGAGUAGUAUGUCAUCCACAUACAAUACCAAAAAGCUAACUAUACUCCCACUAGCCUUGACAUACACACAAGAUUCAUCUUCACUCCUAGAAAAGCCAAAUUCCUUGACCUUUUCAUCAAAGCAAAGAUUCCAUCUGCGAGGUGCUUGCUUCAAUCCAUAAAUGGAUUUCUCAAGCUUACACACUCUAUUAGGGUACUCGUUGCUGACAAAACCCUCUGGCUGACUCAUGUAAACAUCUUCAGCCAACUUUCCAUUAAGGAAAGCGGUUUUGACAUCCAUCUGCCAUAUUUCAUAGUCAUGAAAUGCAGCUAUGGCUAACAGAACCCGAAUAGACUUAAUCUUGGCUACCGGAGAAAAGGUCUCAUCAUAAUCCACUCCAGGAAUUUGAGAGAAGCCCUUUGCAACCAGUCUAGCCUUAUAAGUGUGUACUUUACCAUCCAUGUCGGUCUUCUUCUUGAAGACCCAUUUGCACCCUACUGUCUUACGACCUGGUACAUUUUCAACCAAGUUCCAAACUUGAUUGUCAUACAUGGAUUGUAUCUCGCUAUCCAUAGCCUCUUUCCAUUUAGCAGACUCGGGGCCUGCCAUGGCUUCCUCGUAGCUGUUAGGGUCAUCUUGACUUACUAGUGUCUCAUCACUAAUAAGUGUCUCACCUUCUGCAGUAAUAUGGAAUCCAUAGUAAUGCUCAGGUGCACUCCUAACUCUCGUGGAACGUCUCAGAGGUACAGAUUUGUCAAUUGGCUCAACAGGAGUUUCCUCCUCAAGUUGAGGGCUAGAGUUUGAAGUUCCUUCACCGCUUGAUUCUUGAAUUUCUUCAAGAUCAAUUUGCCUCCCACUGUCUCCUUGGCUUAUAAACUCUCUUUCUCGAAAGACUCCUCUUCUUGCUACAAAGACCACAUUGUCACUAGGUCUGUAGAAGAGGUAACCAAAGGAUCGCUGUGGGUAACCGAUGAAAAUACACCUCUCGCUUCGAGGUUCGAGCUUAUCAUGAGUCUCGCGUCUCACGAAAGCCUCGCAACCCCAAAUCUUGAUGUGGUCUAGUUUAGGUACUUUACCAGUCCACAUCUCGUGAGGAGUUUUGGCAACUUUCUUUGUAGGGACUAGAUUAAGAAUAUGGGCGGCAGUCUCUAAGGCAUACCCCCAGAAUGAGAUUGGUAGCGUAGCUCGACUCAUCAUGGAACGAACCAUAUCUAACAAGGUUCGAUUACGCCUCUCAGCCACACCAUUCAACUGUGGUGUCCUGGGAGGUGUCAAUUGUGAGACUAUCCCACAUUCCCUUAGAUAGUCGAGGAACUCUGAACUAAGAUACUCACCACCACGAUCGGAUCGAAGCAUCUUAAUGUUCCUGCCCAAUUGAUUCUCGACUUCCUGUUUAAAUUCCUUAAACCUCUCGAAAGUCUCUGACUUAUGCUUGAUCAAGUAGACAUAUCCAUAUCUACUAUAAUCAUCAGUAAAAGUCAAAUAAUAACGAUUAGCAUCCCUUGUGGCAUGUUUGAAUGGUCCACACACAUCCGUGUGUAUAAGGUCCAACAAACCUUCACCCCUCUCACACGAACCUGUGAAGGGUGACUUUGUCAUUUUUCCAAGUAAGCAUGAUUCGCAACUAUCAUCUGACUUUAGGUCAAACGACUCCAAGACUCCAUCCUUUUGGAGUUGGCCUAUGCGUUUCUUGCUUAUAUGUCCAAGACGACAAUGCCAUAAAGAUGCUUUAUCCAAGUUAUUAUUAGUAGAAUCAAUACACAAAACAUUAUUUCCCAAGUUAUCUACAACAGAUACAGCUUCAUACACACCAUCACAAGGUAAUGCUUUAAAAUAAAAGACAUUAUUAUAGAAAACAUCUAUAGAACCAACUUCAUUAUUAAAUGAAAAGGUAAACCCUUGUUUGUACAAAGCAUGAAAGGAAAUAAUAUUUCUUGCCAUUCCUGGCGAAUAACAACACUUAUUCAAAUCUAAACUAAACCCACUACUUAGCGAUAAAGUAUAAACUCCAAUCUUGGUAACAGGUAUAGCUUUCCUAUUCCCCAUGAUCAAGUUUAUCCUUCCUUGCUCCACAUCCUCACUUCUUCUUAGUCCCUGCAAGUCACAACAAAUGUGAAUACCACACCCGGUAUCAAGGACCCAAGAAUUAGAAUGGGGUGAGUUAUUAGAAAUGAUAGUGUAAAUACCUGCAUGGUUGGGUUUAACUUUCCCAUCCUUCACAUCUUGCUGGUAUUUUGGGCAGUUCCGCUUCCAAUGAGCUUUUUCAUGGCAAUAGAAGCAUUCAGCCUCUUUUGGGUCAGAAGAAGGAGUAACGAAACCUUUCUUGGUUCCACUUGAAGAAGAGCCAUCAAGGGUCCGAGCCUUGGUACCCUUAGAAGAGCUCUUUCUCUUCCUCCCUCGACUUUUCCCGAUUGCCAAAACCGGAGUAGAGUUUUGAGUAGGAGUGAUAGCAACCGACUUCCCCUUAAGACCUGUUUCUGCGGUCUUGAGAAGUCCCUGAAGUUUGCUGAGGGUGACUUCUUCCUUGUUCAUGUGAUAUGUCAUGCGGAAUUGAUCAUAGCACGAUGGUAAGGAAUGCAAAAUAAUAUCUAUUGCAAGAUCCUCCGGGAAGUUCACAUUAAGCUUCAGCAAACGAUCCACAUACCUUUGCAUUUUCUGCAUGUGGCUCGUGACGGAUUCCCCGUCCUUCAUCAUGGUUGUUAUCAUGGAGCAGAUGAUUUCAUAACUCUCUUGUCGUGCACUUUGAUGGUAUCUUUCCAUCAGAUAUUUGUGCAUUUCAUAAGGGUAGAAAUCUUCAUAAGACUUUUGGAGUUCCGCUGUCAUCGUGGCCAUCAUGAUGCAUGCCACUUUCGUAGCAUCCCUUUCAUGUGCCCGAAAUUCAGCGAUCUCCUGAGGAGUUGCAGUGGACUCAUCAAUCUCCUUAAGCUCCUUGUCAAGGACAUAUUCUUUGUCCUCGUAGCGGGUAAUCAUCCUGAUGUUUCUGAUCCACUCAUUGAAGUUGGAUCCAUCAAAGGUGACUUUCCCACACAAGUUCAUAAGGGUAAAGGAGCCAUUAGGAUUAGAGCCAGAAGCAUUGUUGAAAGACAUCUGAAGGAAAGAGGACAAGAUUAGUUUAGAUAUAAGAGAGUCCUUAAUAAAACACCCAAAUGUAAUAUUAAGGCUAGGAUCCAAUCACAAUAUAUUAUAACUUAGAAGAGGUAUGCCGUAAUCCAAGCUAUAACAUAUUUGAAAGGUAGGUGAAUGACGAUUCACCAAUUUCCACCACGAAAACCGAAAUAUUAAGUAUUAGGUUUUUUGAUUGGUUCUUAGAAAUUCCUAGAUUCUUUGAGAUUCAAUGAACUUUUCAAAGGCAUGUUUCAAUCUCGAGUGUGCCCUCCAAGUUUUGUGACUGGGAUACCGAGGAUCACAAAACGAGGUGUGAAGUAACCAUGCAAAUCACUUGGUACCCUUAAAGUUUAUCACUCAAUCGAUGUGCCGGUAAACCACACACGCUCCACCGAUACCAUAAUAAACCUUAAGUCACCGUUUACCUACCUUGUUAAGUCCAUGUUAGUGUGCCGGUUAACCACACACGCUCCACCAACGACUUAAACAAAGUGUAAAGUGUAAUUUCAUGGAUUAGCACCUUAUUCACAUUUUUUUUCCUGAAGUAACUAAGAUUGGGAAUUCAAUAAAACAUUUUAGUUACUUUAUAAUAUUCAUCAUACUUUAAAUGAGAAUUUAUAAGUCCUUGUCUUACCCAUUCGGCUAACGACCCUCCACCGAUCAAGCAAGCGGUGGGUGAGAGUGGACACCCAUUAAGUCACCAUUUUAUAGGCAACAACCUUAUACCCACCUUAUAGACCGGCUUCGUGAAUGAGGCGUACUAGCGGUAAGACGACUUUGUUCUUAUACAUAUAUAUAUAAUUAUU